RNAcentral lists this long non-coding RNA (1113 nucleotides) under Homo sapiens (human). RNAcentral's name for it is "testis expressed 41". The record is from RNAcentral. Lineage: Eukaryota; Metazoa; Chordata; Mammalia; Primates; Hominidae.
GGCCUCCAUCUUGAAAACGGAAAAUAAAAACAGCAGACCUAUGAAGGUCGAAGGGGAAGAAAAGCUGUAUCGAUUGUUGAGAUCUGGCGACUUGUUUAAAUUUCAUCAGCCUCACUUCUAUGAACUCUCAGAGCUGAUUACCAACUCCUACCACUGUUAACCCUCAUCCAGGAACAAGCUUAUGUCUUUAACAUUCUGAGUGGGCUUCAGCAUCCUUGCAUAUGUUCAAUUCUUAAAAACCUGUUGAAAUAAAAGAUCAGGAGACAUAGGAAGGAUGCCAGAAGAGAGCGUGGCCUCACGUGUACCAGCUCUCUGCUCUCCUUUGCCUUGGGACGUUCCAUCCCUGGAAGUUUCCCUGCCCACAUCUUUGUAGAGAGUCCAUUCUCCAAGCUUCAGUGUGUCAUCUGUGAGGACCGUGACCCACCUGGUACAUCGCCUCAGGGCAUUCAUUUCAGGCUCCUUCUAAAUGGCCAAGUUUUCAAGAUUGUUUUGGCUCUAGCAAAACAAGUUGGAACAUUCACAUCAUCCAAGACAACACCAACAUUUUUGUAAUGGCCUGCAAGGCCUUCCGAGAUCUACCUCCUGCAACUCAGCUUCUCCUGUGCUCUCCUUCUGGACUCACUCUGCCUCAGCAACACUGGUCCCUGUUGCCCCACCAAUAUGCCAGCUGCACUGAUGAGGAAACUGAAACAGAAAAUCCAGAGUAAAUUCCACCAGGCCACACAGCAAGGUCUGAUAGAGCCAGGAGAGACUUUAUGAAAUCCAGACUCUCACACUAAUGCUCUAUCAGCUAGACCUCCAUGUGAGUCUCCCCAAUGUAGGUAGGAAGUGCUUUCCCUAAAAUGCUCAUAAAGCAAAUCAGAGCAAUGCUGCAUUCCAUGUGAUUUCUAAUUUGAAAUGCAAACAAUUGCCAAUUUGUUUGACUUGUAUUUAUAAUUAUUUCCUUGUGAAUUACUCAUCACUAAAUGCUUUAUAAAUAUUUUCUCUUUUUUUCCUCAAUGUCUAUGGAAUGAUCACAGCAUAGAAAAUGUUGGCUUUCAAGGAUUUAUUAAUAUCUCCUUUUGAAAUAACAUGUAUUUGUAAGACAGAAUAAAAUCACUUUAAAGAAACAAA